AGUGAACGCUGGCGGUAGGCCUAACACAUGCAAGUCGAACGGCAGCACAGUAAGAGCUUGCUCUUACGGGUGGCGAGUGGCGGACGGGUGAGGAAUACAUCGGAAUCUACUUUUUCGUGGGGGAUAACGUAGGGAAACUUACGCUAAUACCGCAUACGACCUACGGGUGAAAGCAGUGGAUCUUCGUACCUUGCGCGAUUGAAUGAGCCGAUGUCGGAUUAGCUAGUUGGCGGGGUAAAGGCCCACCAAGGCGACGCUCCGUAGCUGGUCUGAGAGGAUGAUCAGCCACACUGGAACUGAGACACGGUCCAGACUCCUACGGGAGGCAGCAGUGGGGAAUAUUGGACGAAGGGCGCAAGCCUGAUCCAGCCAUACCGCGUGGGUGAAGAAGGCCUUCGGGUUGUAAAGCCCUUUUGUUGGGAAAGAAAAGCAGCAGGUUAAUACCCCGCUGUUCUGACGGUACCCAAAGAAUAAGCACCGGCUAACUUCGUG
This 492-nucleotide ribosomal RNA is filed under the name uncultured bacterium. Its description in RNAcentral is "partial 16S ribosomal RNA". It matches the Rfam family "Bacterial small subunit ribosomal RNA", at positions 29 to 507 of the family's 1533-position model. The record is from RNAcentral.